GUCCUUUUGAUUAUAAUUUAAGGUCUGACCUGCCCACUGAAAUUAUUUUAAAUGGCCGCAGUAAUUUGACUGUGCAAAGGUAGCAUAAUCAUUAGUUUUUUAAUUAAAAGCUUGUAUGAAGGGUUGGACGAGAUAAAAUCUGUCUCUAUUUAAUUUAAUAUAAAAUUUAAUUUUUAAGUUAAAAAGCUUAAAUUUUUUUAAAAGACGAGAAGACCCUAUAGAUCUUUAUAGUUUUGAUUUUGAAUUUAAUUAAUAAAUUUUUAUGAUUUAUAAUUUAAACUAUUUUAUUGGGGUAAUAGAAAGAUUAAAAUAAUUCUUUUUUUCUUUAAACAUUUAUUUAUGUUUUUAAUGAUCCAAUUUUAUUGAUUAUAAGAUUAAGUUACCUUAGGGAUAACAGCGUAAUUUUUUUAGAGAGUUCUUAUCGAUAAAAAAGUUUGCGACCUCGAUGUUGGAUUAAAGAUUAGUUUAGGUGUAGAAGUUUAAAUUUUUGGUCUGUUCGACCAUUAAAUCUUUACAUGAUCUGAGUUCAGACCGGCGUAAGCCAGGUCGGUUUCUAUCUUUAAUAAUUUUAAAAUAUUUUAGUACGAAAGGACCAAAUAUUUAAUAUAUUUAUAUUUAAUUUUUUGAAUAUUAUUAAAAAUUAUUUUGGCAGAAUAGUGCAAUGAAUUUAGAAUUCAUAAAUGUAAUUUUAUUACAAAUAAUACUUGUUUUUUUUAGAUGUUAUUUUUUCUUUAGUAUGUAUAUUUUUAUUAAUUAUUUGUGUUUUAGUUGGAGUUGCUUUUUUAACAUUA
This 791-nucleotide ribosomal RNA is filed under the name Lissopterus quadrinotatus. Its description in RNAcentral is "partial 16S ribosomal RNA". The stretch from base 1 to 585 matches the Rfam family "Bacterial large subunit ribosomal RNA", at positions 1825 to 2925 of the family's 2925-position model. Lineage: Eukaryota; Metazoa; Arthropoda; Insecta; Coleoptera; Carabidae. The record is from RNAcentral.